GGAUAACCUGGAUGGAGGAGGACUCUUCUCCAACUCUGUGCUGUGUCCUGGCACAGCUUGUUUGGUCAUGAUCAUCAGGAAGAGUUCUUUAGUGAGCUCUCACUCUCCUUCCAGACCCUUUUGGGCAAUCUCUCCUCCGUGUUCUCUGAGGAGAGAGCAGUUACCAGGACAACAGAGAAUUUGAGGAAGUUUUAAUUGUGAUUUCAUGUCUAACCAGAAGAAAGAGCUAGUGCCUUUAUAUUCUAGGUUCCCAAGCAAAUGUCAAUGUGCAUAUUUAUUACUCUUGGUCUACCUCAUCAUAAAAAGGAUUUCAAGGUAGCGUGCAAUUUUCCCCUUUAAUAUGAGAGAAGAAAAGGAGGAUGCUGACCUCCCAACUUUGAUGCAAAUACACAGGUGAGGACAGCAUCCUUCCAGAAGAGCACAGUGGUCUCUGAAGCUGACAAGUUGUCCCCCAUGGGUACAGUGUGUCAGCUGCUCUGCUUCUCAAAUCUCCCUCUGCACAUGCCUUGGGGUCCACAGAGAACAUCUUCCUGGACAUGAUGAGAGGAAAAAUAUAGAGGGGAGGCAAGCAUCUCUGGAGACAGGACUUCUUCUGCUGCCUGCUGCUCUACAGUAGUGAUUGGAAGAUGGGUCACAGUGAAGGAGAUAUUAAAGUUGGAGAAUUCAAAUAGUUGACCAAGGAAGUAGCAAUUUGGUCCUAGAAGCAGACCCCAAAGUUGUUCCAAACAACUCAUAAGUUCACUUGAAUCCCG
This is a long non-coding RNA of Heterocephalus glaber (naked mole-rat), 752 nucleotides long. The record is from Ensembl. NCBI's taxonomy places the organism in Eukaryota, Metazoa, Chordata, Mammalia, Rodentia, Bathyergidae.